CGCGGGGUAGUUCAGAAGGUUAGAAUAGCGGAAUGGUCCGCCAUCGCGGUCAUAAUCCGCAGGUCGCCGGUUCGAGUCCGGCCCCCGCUC
RNAcentral lists this transfer RNA (90 nucleotides) under Spirosoma sp. RNAcentral describes it as "tRNA-OTHER". It matches the Rfam family "tRNA". Rfam says of the family: Transfer RNA (tRNA) molecules are approximately 80 nucleotides in length. Their secondary structure includes four short double-helical elements and three loops (D, anti-codon, and T loops). Lineage: Bacteria; Pseudomonadati; Bacteroidota; Cytophagia; Cytophagales; Cytophagaceae. The record is from RNAcentral.